UACGAAGGGUGCAAACGUUGCUCGGAAUUAUUGGGCGUAAAGCGCGCGUAGGCGGCUUGGCAAGUCGGAUGUGAAAUCCCUCGGCUCAACCAAGGAAGUGCAUCCGAAACUGCUGAGCUUGAGUACUUAAGAGGAUCGCGGAAUGCUUGGUGUAGAGGUGAAAUUCGUAGAUAUCAAGCGGAACACCGGUGGCGAAGGCGGCCUUCUGGACGAUGACUGACGCUGAGACGCGAAAGCGUGGGGAGCAAACAGG
RNAcentral lists this ribosomal RNA (253 nucleotides) under uncultured bacterium. Its description in RNAcentral is "partial 16S ribosomal RNA". It matches the Rfam family "Bacterial small subunit ribosomal RNA", at positions 524 to 776 of the family's 1533-position model. The record is from RNAcentral.